UGGGGAAUCUUGGACAAUGGGGGAAACCCUGAUCCGGCCAUGCCGCGUGAGUGAAGAAGGCCUUAGGGUUGUAAAGCUCUUUUGGCGGGGAGGAUAAUGACCGUACCCGCAGAAUAAGCCCCGGCUAACUCCGUGCCAGCAGCCGCGGUAAGACGGAGGGGGCUAGCGUUGUUCGGAAUUACUGGGCGUAAAGGGCGCGUAGGCGGCAAUAUAAGUCGGUGGUGAAAUCCCGGGGCUCAACCUCGGAACUGCCUUCGAUACUGUAUUGCUUGAGGCCGAAAGAGGAUGACGGAAUUCCGCGUGUAGCAGUGAAAUGCGUAGAUAUGCGGAGGAACACCGAAGGCGAAAGCAGUCAUCCAGGUCGGAACUGACGCUGAGGCGCGAAAGCGUGGGGAUCAAACAGG
Molecule: ribosomal RNA, 404 nt
Filed under: uncultured bacterium
Lineage: Bacteria
Description: partial 16S ribosomal RNA
Rfam family: Bacterial small subunit ribosomal RNA
Source: RNAcentral